GUUGAACGCUGGCGGCAUGCCUUACACGUGCAAGUCGAACGGCAGCACGGGAGCAAUCCUGGUGGCGAGUGGCGAACGGGUGAGUAAUAUAUCGGAACGUGCCCAGUCGUGGGGGAUAACGUAGCGAAAGCUACGCUAAUACCGCAUACGAUCUAUGGAUGAAAGCGGGGGGAUCGCAAGACCUCGCGCGAUUGGAGCGGCCGAUAUCAGAUUAGGUAGUUGGUGGGGUAAAGGCUCACCAAGCCAACGAUCUGUAGCUGGUCUGAGAGGACGACCAGCCACACUGGAACUGAGACACGGUCCAGACUCCUACGGGAGGCAGCAGUGGGGAAUUUUGGACAAUGGACGCAAGUCUGAUCCAGCCAUUCCGCGUGCAGGAUGAAGGCCCUCGGGUUGUAAACUGCUUUGUACGGAACGAAAAGGUUUCUCUUAAUACGAGGAGCUCAUGACGGUACCGUAAGAAUAAGCACCGGCUAACUACGUGCCAGCA
Molecule: ribosomal RNA, 490 nt
Filed under: uncultured bacterium
Lineage: Bacteria
Description: bacterial SSU rRNA
Rfam family: Bacterial small subunit ribosomal RNA
Source: RNAcentral